This 606-nucleotide ribosomal RNA is filed under the name Stictococcus sjostedti. Its description in RNAcentral is "bacterial SSU rRNA". It matches the Rfam family "Eukaryotic small subunit ribosomal RNA", at positions 41 to 550 of the family's 1831-position model. Lineage: Eukaryota; Metazoa; Arthropoda; Insecta; Hemiptera; Stictococcidae. The record is from RNAcentral.
AGAUUAAGCCAUGCAUGUCUAAGUGCAAGUCGUCCCACGUUGGCGGCGGAACCGCGAAAGGCUCAUUAAAUCAGUUAUGGUUCCUUAGAUAGUACUCCCCAGUUAAUUGGAUAACUGUGGUAAUUCUAGAGCUAAUACAUGCCAACGGUAGUUCCGACCGCGCGACGUCGUCUCCGGACGGCGUCGUGUUCGGAAGGAACGCUUUUAUUAGAUCGAAACCGGCCGGGCYGGCGGCUCGACUCGUCUUMGGGCGAUGCUCGCGGUCGUCGGCUUUGUGGCCCGCGCAAUGACUUGGUGAUUCUGAAUAACUUUGGGCUGAUCGCAGCGGCCUUUGCGCCGGCGACGUAUCUUUCAAAUGUCUGCCUUAUCAACUGUCGAUGGUAAGUUCGACGCUUACCAUGGUGUUGACGGGUAACGGGGAAUCAGGGUUCGAUUCCGGAGAGGGAGCCUGAGAAACGGCUACCACAUCCAAGGAAGGCAGCAGGCGCGUAAAUUACCCACUCUUCGUUCGAGGAGGUAGUGACGAAAAAUAACGAUACGGGACUCUAAUGAGGCCCCGUGAUCGGAAUGAGUACACUUUAAAACCUUGGUCACACGAGGAUCAAU